RNAcentral lists this ribosomal RNA (686 nucleotides) under Pseudo-nitzschia pungens var. pungens. RNAcentral describes it as "partial large subunit ribosomal RNA". It matches the Rfam family "Eukaryotic large subunit ribosomal RNA", at positions 114 to 878 of the family's 3401-position model. Lineage: Eukaryota; Bacillariophyta; Bacillariophyceae; Bacillariales; Bacillariaceae. The record is from RNAcentral.
AUGUGAAUCUGCGCUUUUAUGGCGCCCAAUUGUGGUCUGUAGACUUUGACCUUAUUUGCCGGGCCAAGUUCCUUGGAAAAGGACAGCUUAUAGGGUGACACUCCCGUCCGCCUGGUAAAGUGAGUCAUUUGUCAACGAGUCUAGUUGUUUGGGAUUGCAUCUCUCAUUUGGUGGUAAAUUCCAUCUUAAGCUAAAUAUUGGUGGGAUACCGAUCGCGUACAAGUACCGUGAGGGAACGAUGCAAAGAACUUUGAAAAGAGAGUUAAAGAGUACCUGAAACUGCUGAAACGGAAGCGAAGGAAACCAGUGUUUGUUUGUUCAUAUUUCCCUGGCCACUUGUGGUCUGGGCGCUGUGGACUUGCGUGAGUUUGGGUUGGUUGAUCCCUUUGGAAUAGCGCAGUCAGAGUUGAUGUCUGUUGCUAGCACUGGGUUUGACUGAUGCAUACGAAAUGGUUUUCUUUACCCCGUCUUGAAACACGGACCAAGGAGUCUAACAUAUGUGCGAGUACAGGGGUGUCAAACCCCCGUGCGCAAUGAAAGUGACUGUGGUUGGAAUUUUUGCACAAUCCGCCGGCCUCAGUCCCUCGGGAGAACGGUCUGAGUGUGAGCAUACAUGUUGGGACCCGAAAGAUGGUGAACUAUGCCUGAAUAGGGUGAAGCCAGGGGAAACUCUGGUGGAGGCUCGU